CUUGUGCUGUGGGUUUCUCCGCUCUGUACAUCUCUCUUUCCGAGAAAAGGAGAAUGUCCCGUUCCACUAUAAAAGAGGAAGUCGGGGAGGAUUCUUUUUGGCAGAUUUCUCGGAUGAAAAUAAAACGCAAAUGCAGCAAUAAUAUAUCUGAGAACUGUUUAUUGAUACAAAACGCACAUGAAGGGGCAAUGUCAGAAGCAACAGCAGUACAGGCUGGCCUUCGACAUCACACUCAAGGCCUGCAAAGACUGUGAAGAGCAGUUUGGAAUAGAAAAGGGAAGCUGAAUCCUGCUUUGCCACCAUAUUGAGCAGCAGCAGGAAAAAAAAUCAUCCGAGUUAUGGUGGUAAUGCAUAGCUGAGACAACUUGUGUGGUGCAGCACGGCAUGUGGGCUGCAAUAGCCAGUGUCGCUUCUGCCCCACUCCUUCGCUUCUUGGCUGAUGCAGGGAGGUGCCUUCCUCUUGCUGCUUAGCUUUCACUGCUGUAUGGAAUUAGGAUAGGAGGGCAUGCAACAGUAUUCUAUAGGAAGGUUACCUACAGUGCUUUCCCCUGACAGAACAGAUCUCUUCUGGCCUCAACAAGGGGAUUGUCAACAGCACACUGAAGAGCCUCAUCACUGCUGGACAGCUUAGGUGGUCGCAUGCCCACCACACCACUGGACUGGAGGCACUGCUGGCAGUCCCUAGUCCAAUGCCACACUCAGAGCAAGGUCACUUUGAACAGGUUUUUCAUGUGUUUAACAUGAGUUUCCUGUACUUUGUGUCACAUUGCUUCUUCUUAUUGGAUACCACUGAGAAAAGUCUGAUUGUUUUCUUCACUAACCUCCUUAAAUAUUUAUACAUAGGGUUAACAUUCCCCAUUGGGCUUCUACAGGAUAAACAGUCCCAUCUCUUUCAGCUUCCCCUUGUAUAAAAGAUGCUCUGGUCCAUUCAUCAUGCUUGGAUGAAUUUUCUUCAUUCCUCCAGUCUGUACUGUCUCUUGUAUUAUGUGUCCAGGAGUGGACUUAGCACUCCAGGCAUAUCUCACCAGGGCUGAUCACAGAGGAAAGAUCAGCUCUUGAACUGCUGAUAACACUCCUCUUAAUGCAGUCCAAGGGGCUAUUUGACAUAUUUGUCAUGAGGGCAGAUUACUGGUUGUGGUGAGCUUGGUGUCUCCUGGGGAAUUGGGUCCUUCCCUGCCAAACUGUUUUUCAGCUGGGUGACUCCUGCAUGUACAGGCUGAACCUGGUCCUCUUAAUUGCAGGACUUUCCAUUUCCCUUUAUUCAGCUUCAUGAGCUUUCUCUUGGCAUUUUUCUACAAACUUUUGAGGGCCCUCUGAAUGGUAGCACAGCCCUCUGGUGUACAGAGGUGCACAUGCUACCCUGCAAAACUUCCUGCCACUCUUGCUAUUGGGCUUCUUUCAGCUCGCCAAGUUCCUCAGCUUCCCUCAGCAGCUGUUUUCCGGUUACUCGAUUAGUCUCAGCAUCUCUAAAAUUCAGAUCCUCUCCAUGCCAGAGAGUGACAUUGAAAGUCCAGCAUCAGCUCUCCUACUGAGUGUUGUCUCUACUGUGCCAUUCUUAACCCCAAUGCUCCUGUUCCCCUUAAGCUCCGUACCUGACUUGUAUUAGGUACAGUAAUUUCAACAUGUAAUUAUGCACAUACAUGUGCUUAUCUGUGCUUUAGGAAUGAGGGCAAAGAGAACAAUGCAGUGAGUGCCCAAGUCCGUAUGCUGGAGAUAGUUUCUAUUGCCCUAUUAGAUCUCUUUUCCCUCUGUGCAGCCAAAUUCUAACUGAGGCUCUUGAGUUUUGUUUUUAGGAGACAAAACUUUGCCUUUAACUGGCUUGGUGCUACUUAUCCAUCACUGCUGGAGGCUCCUUGUAGUGUCUCACCCGGACUCAGGUAAAGGACAUGAUGAAGCCCGUCAGUUACCCAAGCUCAAAUAUUUGACAGGCAAAAAUGAGCAGGCCAGCUAAGCUAAGGAAUGGCUACUCAUAUGCUUUGUCAGCUCCCACAGUGUUGGUGAGAGGCUGGCCAGUUGCAUCAGCAUGACAUUUGGUCAAUUUUUCUUGGUAUCACAUUGGUGACAGGAGGACUGUGAAGAUGGUGCAUUGGCAGUGAUGGGUCUCACUCACCUCUGAGUCCAGGGAGCCUGCCAGAAAAUUCUCCUCUGUGGUAUGAAAACCACAUGCAUUUUUCUUGCUGAAGAGUUAGAUGACAAAUAAGUCCACAACACUUCUGCAUUGUUAUGUUUAUUUUAUUUAUAUUUGUAUUCCAUUGCUUCAUCCAUUAAGAUUGGUUUGAAAAGUAAACUUUGUUUUUCUUUUAAUGACUACAACAGUUAAUGUUGAUCUCUCUUCCUAUACAGUUGAAACAUUGUUUAAUAACAAACAACUAAAAAAGUCCAAGACAAAUGUGACAGCAUUAAAAAAAAAAAAAAUAACACACCAAACAGAGCUGAUGCAUGGAGGAAGAAAAGGAAUCAACCACUUAUUUUUCAGAAAGAUGCAUUUCCCUAAAAAUUACCAAAAUUAGAAAAAAAAGUAUUUUAUGGGAAAGAGCAGGGAGUGUACACAUGCAUAUGCUGAUGCUUCCACAUCCAUAUCCCCAAACACAUACACACAGAGAUAUAUAUGUGUGUGUGUGUGUGUAUAUAUAUAUAUAUAUAUAUAAAUUAUACUACUUAUAUCUGUCUUUAAAACAGAAAACUUAUUAAAACACAGAACAGAAGUUACUUUAAAAGCUCUAACAUAUUUGCCUAAACCUUGGAAAUCACUGCCUAUUUAGCAUAGAACACAUAAAAAAUCAACUUUGAUAACUUUUUAAUCAAAUGUACACCUUCACCAGGUUUUUAGUGCUGAUUUGGCUUGCUUUGCCUUUGGAAUAAUCUCCAUAAUUAUUAAAAAUGUCUUUUAUUAAAAAUUUCUUCCAAGAUAUAGGAAAAAAUGUCUAAAUACUGACCACUAUACUGGAUGCCCCAGUGUUAUCCCCUUUCUAAAGCCCAUAGAGCAUGCUUUACUAUAGCUAUCAUAUUUCUAUUUUACAUGUAGUGACUGCUGUUUUGCUGCUCUUGCAGGAACCUCUUGCUCUCGCUUUUGUUCUUCUGAAGAGAUGGUAAACAGCCAGCCCAUGAUGGUCUCUCUUCAGAGGGCAUAGGUGAGAAGAAGCCCUUCUAGAGGCACAGAGCCAAGUGAAAAAGCGGCUUUUAGUAACAGCAAUGUCCUUGGGGAAGCAAAAGGAACACUGAAAGGCUGAAGGCUGGCUCUGAGACCUCCCAUCCAGAAAAUGAGAAACCUCAAGAACACGCAGAGAAGGUAAAAAGCAACAGGAAGGAGUAGCAUUUUGUGAUACAUCUCCAAAACGUGUAAUUUAUUUAACCCAGAGGUGCUUAAAGUCCUUUUAGUCUGUUGUUAAUAGAGACUUGACAAGAGUGGCUUCCCAACUACAGAGUAUCAUUCUCUGUAGACAGACAAGGAAUUCUCUCUCAACAGACAAGGAAUUUGUGGUCACUGAGGACAAUGUUCACCCAUUAAGUUUCUGCACAUCUUGAAUUGUUGUUUGUAGGUCCCUGUAAAGUUACACCUUAUCUGUUUUCCUCUCUUUCCCUGCCUUGUUCUUAAUGAAUCCAUUAAUCAGGAGAGUCAACUUGCCCGAUGUAAGUUUUGCUGCUUUAGAGCCUGAGUUCUUGGAGAAAAUGAGUAAGUUUCCUAAGUCUCCAGCUUCUCUCAAAUCUGAUAGAAAUCAUCAAUUUCGCUGUUGUGUAUUAGUAAAAAACCCCCACCCUUCAAAAGACCCUGGGACUCCAUUGUUCAUAAAAUCUAAGGGAGGUUAUGUUCAGUUUUGUUUCGUAUUACAGUUGUCACUAAUGCAUGUUGACAUAAACCAGAAGUUCAUUACAAAAUAUCUUAUUACAGAGACAAUCAAUGAAAGCUCUCAAGUCUUUAAUAACUGAAGUCAAGCUUGGUGUCACAGGAACCUUUCACAACCCUUCAUUACUUCAGAGUAUUGCUGAGUUUCAAUCAUUUGAAAUGAUUCCUCUAUAAAGGCACUAAGAAGUGCCUUGAAGCUUAACACAACAGCAUCUUUAAAGGUAAGCAUCAAGGAAAAAAAAAAGUAAGAAAAACAAAGCAUGACUGAAGAACUAGAAAAGUGAUUAAAAAACCACAACAAAACAAAAAAUCCAAACAAUAACCUCUUUUUUUCCCUCCCCUCCCCCCACCAUUCCCAAUCCCAGAACAAUAUGGAAUGCUGGCAUUAUUAGAAACACAUGUAAUAAUAAGGUCAGGUAGAAAAAGCAUUAACAAGCAAAACAUGAUUCUGUCUGUUUGUGUCCCUGAGCAAAUUACUGAUGAAGCUGGAAUACUUGAUCAGAAGAUUGAAGAGGAAGCUGCUUUUCUCUUGCUAUGAGAAGGGGUAAAAUGAUACUUUUACAUAGUGAUGCCACAUUCCAAACAUUUGUAUUUGCUUAUCUUAUAGCUACCACAGAGUGGAACAAGAGAGAUGGCCUGUGGCAUGUGAUGGCCAGGUGGUGGCUGACUAGCUGUGCUGCAGAAGCAAGAGUACCUGUUGGGAGAUAUUCAGCAGACGGCCACAUGUUGUCAGGUGGAGGAAGGAAACUCCUUGUUCUUCCUAGCAGAAUAAGCAACCAAAACAAGUACACUUUUCUCUCCUUUGCAGCUGGUUCUCCUGCAUAAUAAUGGGCUUUUACCAUUACAGGGAUUUUGGCCAGGUCAAACACAAAUCCUCUAGGGUUCAACUCUUCAUUUCACUCUUUUGCUUCAUACUGUGUGCUCUACCAGAAAAUGAAACAUAGGGGUUUGUGGGGAAAAAAAACCAGUUUAAAAAAAGGAAAACACUUCCCACUGAUAAGUUUCGCAUUCACAAAAAGGUAACUGAAUCUCAGGUAAUUUUUUCUCAGCCUAAUCUUCAGACUCAGCUGCAGUGAAUAGUCUCAAAACAGCACAUGGUAAGUAGUGUAAUAAAAUGAAAACUAAAUUAUGCAUAAAAACCCACGUUUUUCAAUUUGUGUAGUAACUUUGAUCUCUAUGUGCUAAAUUCUACACCUUUGCAUCUUUAUGUUAAUCUUUCAAAUACAGUGCUGCCCAGACUGAGAGCACCACAUGGCAACUGUCCACAGUGGCAGUGAAAUUCAAGUGCACUGCAUCAGCUACAGCUCCAUCUCCAACAGUGCCAUAGCCCAGGCACUUUGGAGGAGUUCAAGACAUCCUUUAUAAGCAAGUGAAGUUGUAAUUCCAGGCAGUUGCCAGCUACAUGAACCACCCCAAAGAAGUUAUAUUUUUCAUCUUCUUUAAAAUGAGCAAGCUCAAGAGUAGCUGUGGCAAUGAAUUUCAGAAGCUAGUUAUAUCCUGCAGAAGAGACAGCAGAAGAGAAAUCAUCUGUGUGUGCAUUCCAAUCCCCAGAGAAUUAACCUCAUUGCAAAGACUACCAAAGGAGGUAAGAACACUUAGGUCCAUCCCCUUGAAAGCAAAGGACACUGCUGCUUGCGUAGUUCUAGAGAUGCAGAAAAGCCUCCAUCACAGAUAUACCUAAUGUUCACAGACAAAAGCAUUUUUUUCAGAGCAACAAUUUUACAAGCCCUGAUUUAAGGAAGCAGGCAAAUAAAUGAUCAUGUACUACAACAUUGAGCUAGAAAAUAUUUGCUGUUAUUCUUUAGUGUCAGCUACCCCUCUAUUUCACAUAUUCCAAUCACUGGAUACUCCAUGAGAUUUUUUUCUGUUUCUGUCUCAGAAGAUGUAAACAUACCUAAACUUAUUCAAGGAGAAGGCAGCAACAGGGUUCAGCACUUACUAAGGAAAGAGUAACUUUUCACAAUAACACAAGUGUGCAAAAUUCAUUACAAGGCACAGAAUACAUAGAUAUAUCUCAAUUCUCAUUUAUUCAGAAAUAUUUCUCUUGUGAUAUUCUGAAUCACUUUCAUUUUUUUAAAUUUUUUUUUUUUUUAGAAGAAAGCCUCCUCAGGGCAUAUUUGGUGUAGAAGACUUGAUUUGCUGCAAUGGAUCUUUCUAUAUUGUCCAUACACAUGUUAAUUUUCCAGAAUUAACUUCUGGAAAAAAGUACUGUGUUAGUCCAGUGUAUAAAGCAAGUCAUGUUACUGGGCACUGUUUUGCUGCAACAGGGACCUUCAAUUAGUCCCUCCUGCUCUAACCUUCUUCACUACUCAUCUUUACUGUAUCAUCUUCCUGCAAGUAAUGCAAAUUAAAUUUAAUUUCUCUGAAAAGAUGAAAUUUUAGGGUGAUUGAGAAGGAUCUUU
Molecule: long non-coding RNA, 6246 nt
Organism: Motacilla alba alba
Lineage: Eukaryota; Metazoa; Chordata; Aves; Passeriformes; Motacillidae
Exons: 3
Source: RefSeq, a predicted model, not a curated record